Molecule: ribosomal RNA, 495 nt
Filed under: uncultured bacterium
Lineage: Bacteria
Description: partial 16S ribosomal RNA
Rfam family: Bacterial small subunit ribosomal RNA
Source: RNAcentral
GACGAACGCUGGCGGCGUGCCUAAUACAUGCCAGUAGAACGCUGAAGGAGGAGCUUGCUCUUCUGGAUGAGUUGCGAACGGGUGAGUAACGCGUAGGUAACCUGCCUGGUAGCGGGGGAUAACUAUUGGAAACGAUAGCUAAUACCGCAUAACAGUAGAUGUUGCAUGACAUUUGCUUAAAAGGUGCAAUUGCAUCACUACCAGAUGGACCUGCGUUGUAUUAGCUAGUUGGUGGGGUAACGGCUCACCAAGGCGACGAUACAUAGCCGACCUGAGAGGGGGAUCGGCCACACUGGGACUGAGACACGGCCCAGACUCCUACGGGAGGCAGCAGUAGGGAAUCUUCGGCAAUGGACGGAAGUCUGACCGAGCAACGCCGCGUGAGUGAAGAAGGGUUUCGGAUCGUAAAGCUCUGUUGUAAGAGAAGAACGAGUGUGAGAGUGGAAAGUUCACACUGUGACGGUAUCUUACCAGAAAGGGACGGCUAACUACGUG